UAUCGUCCAGAAAGCACAGAAAAAACUUAUGAUAGGGAACGGCAGUAUUCAGAAGGUAUGAACUCAAUCACAGUCUCGUCAAACUUGUCUAGCUGGAGGGGGAAGCGCUCGAGCGAGAAAUAGGGGAACGGCAGUAUUGAGAGUGGCAUUAUUGGGAAAGUGUACUGUACUGCAUGUUUCAUUUACUUUAGUGAAAAAACAAUCGUAACGAAGUAACGGUAAACGAAGAAGAAGCUGCACCGACGUCAUCCCGUUUUGCUUCUUGUCAGCAGCAGCAAGUUGCGAGCGUAUCGCCCCGUGUGGAACCUCGGGCGGUAGCCAGGGUGUUGCCAAAGCAACGCCCUGCUCCUACGGCCCAACGUCGCCGACGAGAGGGGUCAGAAGAAGAAGAAGCAAAUGAACCUCCGCUGCGAAGAGCCCGUAGAGAUGAAGCGGAGCUUUCUCUUCCUCCUCCUCCUCCCGUUGAUUCCGAUGAUGAAGUGCAGAUAAUGCUGGAAGUUAGGCAUCCGCCAGGGAUAUUAUCUGAUCAUUUCUAACAGAAAGAAGCGGAAGAAGAACAGCGUCAAUGGGUGGUGGAGGAGCUUCGAAGAAGGCGGCUGGAAGCGCAAAUAGAAGACGAGCGCUACGAGCGGGAAACAGUCCGUCUCUUGUCGCGGAAAUCGAAAACGAGAUCAUUGCCGACAACAACGACAACAACGACAACAACGGCGUCGACGACGAGAACGAUGACGACGACGACGACGACGACGAC
Long non-coding RNA from Pseudomyrmex gracilis, 751 nucleotides. RefSeq lists it as uncharacterized. The record is from RefSeq and is a predicted model, not a curated record. The transcript has 3 exons. NCBI's taxonomy places the organism in Eukaryota, Metazoa, Arthropoda, Insecta, Hymenoptera, Formicidae.